AAGGUUUUAUUUUAUUUGAAUAUAUUUUUUGCAAGAAUAAGGAAUAUACCUUC
Molecule: transfer RNA, 53 nt
Filed under: Diploscapter coronatus
Lineage: Eukaryota; Metazoa; Nematoda; Chromadorea; Rhabditida; Rhabditidae
Description: tRNA-Ala
Source: RNAcentral